ACCCAGCUAGCUCAGUCGGUAGCGCAUGAGACUCUUAAUCCCAGGAUCGUGGGUUUGAGCCCAAUGAUGGCAG
Molecule: non-coding RNA, 73 nt
Organism: Pangasianodon gigas (Mekong giant catfish)
Lineage: Eukaryota; Metazoa; Chordata; Actinopteri; Siluriformes; Pangasiidae
Source: the annotation of a GenBank genome assembly